Non-coding RNA from Macaca mulatta (Rhesus monkey), 1945 nucleotides. NCBI's taxonomy places the organism in Eukaryota, Metazoa, Chordata, Mammalia, Primates, Cercopithecidae. The record is from RefSeq and is a predicted model, not a curated record.
UCCGGGUCCUGCCGGAAACCAGGGAGGGCAGAGCACGGGCCCCCAAAGACAAAAGUCCGAGUCUGCGCUGGGGUCCGAGGCCCGCCGCUGUAAGAGUCACGAGCUGAUCCAGGCGCUGGUCGCCCGAAGCUACUCAAGGAUGUGCUCCACCAAAAUGAAGAUAUGAAGACAAUGAAUACAAGAGACAGGCAAAGGGAGUUCCCAGGACAUAAGCAAGGGACAUCCCAGGUAGCAAGAGUGCACCUGAUGUCCAGGGCCAUCUGUCCAGGUCCUCUCUCUACUCUUCUGCAUCCUGUUCUCUGCCCAGGGAGGAUGACCUAUUUAGACAGCAGCAAAGGGCUUGCUUACCCAAGGGUACUGGCAGGAGAGAGGAAGGAGGAGAUGGAGAAAUCAAGGCGCAAAGAGGUUAAGAAGCUUGCCCAGGGUUUGCCGGGACAUAGAUGGGAGUACUAAUUCACAACUAGAUGGAGAACCUGAUACAAGCAAGCAGAACUCCGGAAGGCAACAUCUUGAGAGCCCUGAAGUGACAAUGGGAUUCUGGGAAAGUCAAUUCCCGGAGCCCAGUCUCUUUAUCUGCAAAAUGGAAAUAAUUAUUACAAUGGAGCCUCUCCUGCCUGCUGGGCGGCAUCACAGGAGACAGUGUUUUGGAAAGUCCUCUGUAUGUUCGAGGUAGCAUUAACACCACCUCCCCCUGCCCCCAGCCAAUAAGGGCCUACAAAAGAAACAGCCAGGGAAACUGAGUCGGUAAGCACUGGAUUUGGGAGUUUGAGUAUUUCCAAGCAGAAGUCAUGAGGUCAAACUUUGUAAUACUAAUAAAUAGGAAGAAGCACAGGAAUCCCAUUUCUUUGAUCAAUUUAUUAACUUUUUAGUAAAUUCUCUCUCAUCAAUUGUGCUAUAAUGAUUUUGCAUCCCAGAUAGUUUUAUACAAUAUCUUGUGUUUCAUGCUCCUUGUUCAUCAAUAUAAUGCAGUUAGUUGGCAAAACAGUUACAGGAACUGAGGUUACCCUUUCUAUUCAGCACAGAGUGGAGAUAUGGAAGGAACGUCCAGGAAUAUAUUUCUGCCUGGGUUUCGAGUAAAGGUGGCCACUGGCACCAGUUAGGGCUGGAACUCUGGGUAAUUAUGGGGCAUGCACACAGCUCCAUCCCUUUACCAUAGCAGACAUCAGUGAUCUACCACAGCACCUUUCCCCUUCUUAGACCUGGAGAUGGCCUCAGAGCCCUUCCCAACACAGUGGUAACUGGAUCAGAUCACAGUGAAAUGCAUUCGUCACGCCAUGUCUAGGCACUGAUCAGAAGCCAUGACUCUCAUUAUCAAACUGUUAAGCAGCUAUUAGGUGAUGCCCUAAUGCCCUACUGAGAAAAUUAAACCAGUAACUUACAGGUUUAUGACUUAUUCUUUCAUUUUUUGAGCUCUUACUGGUUGCACUUAAUUCAGACAAAGAAAACAGGGUAGCAGAGUUAAACCAAAUGCUUGGGUUAUAAUUCCAAAGUUCUUUUCUCUUCUUCCAGCCACACAGGAUAUUUGAUCCUUCUAAUGCCUUUAACUGUUGGCUUCAAACAACUGUGAAGAAGAGAAGGAAAUCUGACACUUUAGCUGGAUGAUGUUUAUACAGAUGCAGCUUCUUCCUUCACAUAUUUGGUUAGGAGGAGCUCAGUGAGCUGGAGGCUGAAUCUCAGGAAUGUUUAAAUAAAGUGACAUUGACACAGACCCUGAGCAACAUUUGCAAACUCCAUUCUAACCUCACUUAGAGUUGAGGUUCUUAAUCUUUGUUGGACAUGUAUUCCUUUGGCAGACUGGUGAGGUUUAUGCAUCUCGCUCAGAAUACUAUCUUUAUAUAAAACAGUAAAAGAAAAUCGGGUUAUAAAAAGAAAAUACACUGGGUAUACUAUAUAAUGCAUUUGGGUAUACUGAAAUACAGUUAUUAAAAUAUUUUUUUUAAAUCUA